This 665-nucleotide ribosomal RNA is filed under the name uncultured bacterium. RNAcentral describes it as "bacterial SSU rRNA". It matches the Rfam family "Bacterial small subunit ribosomal RNA", at positions 10 to 714 of the family's 1533-position model. The record is from RNAcentral.
AGUUGUAUCCUGGCUCAGGAUGAACGCUAGCGGUAUGCCUAACACAUGCAAGUCGUACGAGGGUUUCAUACCCAAGUGGCGGACGGGUGAGUAACACGUGAGAAUUUGCCCUAAGGAGGGGGAUAACAACUGGAAACGGUUGCUAAAACCCCAUAUGCUUCCGAGUGAAAUAGAUUUAUCUGCCUUAGGAGAAGCUCGCGGCUGAUUAGCUAGUUGGUAAGGUAAUGGCUUACCAAGGCGACGAUCAGUAUCUGGUUUGAGAGGACGAUCAGACACACUGGAACUGAGACACGGUCCAGACUCCUACGGGAGGCAGCAGUGGGGAAUUUUCCGCAAUGGGCGAAAGCCUGACGGAGCAAUACCGCGUGAAGGAAGACGGCCUAUGGGUUGUAAACUUCUUUUUUCAGGGAGGAACUCAAUGACGUGUACCUGAAGAAUAAGCAUCGGCUAACUCCGUGCCAGCAGCCGCGGUAAGACGGAGGAUGCAAGUGUUAUCCGGAAUCACUGGGCGUAAAGCGUCUGUAGGUGGUUUAAUAAGUCGACUGUUAAAUCUUGAGGCUUAACCUCAAAAUCGCAUUCGAAACUAUUAGACUUGAGUAUAGUAGAGGUAAAGGGAAUUUCCAGUGGAGCGGUGAAAUGCGUAGAUAUUGGAAAGAACACCGAUG